CAGUAGUCACGUAGUUGAUCAUGGCUCAGAACGAACGCUGGCGGCAGGCCUAAUACAUGCAAGUCGAGCGCUCUAGCAAUAGAGAGCGGCGCACGGGUGCGUAACGCGUGGGGAUCUGCCCAAAGGUUCGGAAUAACUCAGAGAAAUUUGAGCUAAUACCGGAUAAUGUCUUCGGACCAAAGAUUUAUUGCCUUUGGAUGAACCCGCGUAGGAUUAGCUUGUUGGUGGGGUAAAGGCCUACCAAGGCGACGAUCCUUAGCUGGUCUGAGAGGAUGAUCAGCCACACUGGGACUGAGACACGGCCCAGACUCCUACGGGAGGCAGCAGUGGGGAAUAUUGGACAAUGGGCGAAAGCCUGAUCCAGCAAUGCCGCGUGAGUGAUGAAGGCCUUAGGGUUGUAAAGCUCUUUUACCAGGGAUGAUAAUGACAGUACCUGGAGAAUAAGCUCCGGCUAACUCCGUG
RNAcentral lists this ribosomal RNA (462 nucleotides) under uncultured bacterium. RNAcentral's name for it is "bacterial SSU rRNA". It matches the Rfam family "Bacterial small subunit ribosomal RNA", at positions 1 to 507 of the family's 1533-position model. The record is from RNAcentral.